This 225-nucleotide unclassified non-coding RNA is filed under the name Hevea brasiliensis (rubber tree). Lineage: Eukaryota; Viridiplantae; Streptophyta; Magnoliopsida; Malpighiales; Euphorbiaceae. The record is from RNAcentral.
UGUACCAAGCAGGAAAGAGAUGCAGUUAGCACAGGAUAAUUAAGUUUGACAAAAGUAAAUGGGAGGUUAUCAACAUCAUAUAGGCCAAUACAAACUAAUCAACUGAUAACUCCAUUUGCAAACUGGCUCAUCCUCCACGCAUAUGAGCACCUAACUCACCAAACUGAUCAUCAGCUUCCACAGUAUCCUCUGACAGGCGAACAGCAUCCAGCUUUUGUUUUAGGA